RNAcentral lists this transfer RNA (53 nucleotides) under Tetragnatha similis. RNAcentral describes it as "tRNA-His". The record is from RNAcentral. Lineage: Eukaryota; Metazoa; Arthropoda; Arachnida; Araneae; Tetragnathidae.
UUUUGUAGUUUAUUUAAAACAACAAUUUGUGGAAUUGUAAAUCUAAAAUUAAA